AGUAAAUUUAACAGUGUUGAUUUUCCAGUGUUACUAUAAAGUGUUAAAAUAAAGUGUUGGAUCAACACUGAACAGAAUGGGUCUAACACCAGAAGUGUCAGGUUUCAAAUAAGAGUUGGUGUUACUUUACAUAGUUGCAGACGUCAACUCUCAUUCAGAGUUAAUCAGGCCACACCUCCAUUAACGUGCAGACAGACGUCAAUUUUCAUCGAAACAGACCACAUGCGGACGCCAUUUUACUUCGCUGGAAGCGUGGUGCCAGGAGUUCAGGUGCUUAAUCACAAUGAUUGUCAAAGCACAAUUUCGGAAUAGGAAGAAAUUCAUAAAAAUCUCAGAGGCGUGCUUUGAUUUAUUUCUAGCAGAGGUGAAAGAGAAGUUCUCAAUUCCAGACGAGCUUGCUGUUACAGUUACAGAUGAAACUGGUACAGAGGUGGAUAAAGAUGUGUUUCCUGAUCUAAUGUCCACCAGUGGGUUGGUUUUAGUCAUAAAUGAGUUGACUGACAUGGGAUCUUCCACACCUCAGUCUUCAGUAAGCUUGGAUACAGAUACACUGUCUCUAACUUCAAAAAGCAGUGAAGAGAGUGACUGGUUUAGUCCAAAACGAUUCAGAAAGGAUGAAGAUGAUGAUGUGGCAUCACAACGAGCACAGGCCAGAGAUCUGAUAUAACAAAUUCUACAGACAAGACCAGGUGGAGGAAAUGUGCUUAAGGAGUAUGAAGAUACAGGCACAAUUAGUGAUGACACAAGGAAAGUGAUGGUGAACAUCUUAGUUGCACACAUGAUGGAGACAGAAGGAAGGGUCCCACAUCGACUUACCAAACAGAAGUAUGGAUUGGGAAUUAUCACCUUAUUUCCCUCACUCAGAGAUCCCCAAGGAAGGACUGGAUAUGAACAUUUCUAUGAUGGCCAAAAAAACACUGGAUUCUUGUCAUGGCGCCUCAAGACAGUACAAAGGGGAACAAGACCUUCUGGAAAUAAGGAAGAUCCAAAAACGGAAGAAAAGGGAGGUCCUUUGCUUGACAGACAGCUAUGUUACCAAGAACAUCAGCUAGAUAAUGAUCAAAGUGUAGAGGCCAUCUCUUUGAUGAAUCAUACAAGUGAACGUGAGGUCAUCAUGCAGAAGAUGAAGGCAACGUUUGAAUACAGACAGCGCCUUGUCCAUGAUCCAGAGGGAUCCACCACCAUUCUCUCUGUUUUUCCUCGGUUCCUGGACACUAAAGGAUUGGUAUGGAUUUUCUUUCAUUUUUUACUAAAAUUUAAAUGUUAGUAUCAGAGAACUGUCAAAUGGUCUGCAUUGUUGAAACUGGCCACAUUAUUGUAAUCACAAUAUAUUGUAAUUUCUUUGUGUUUUCUUCAAAACUUCAGAUUUUUCAGGACUUCACACUCCUCUUUGGGUCAGAAACUGCUUCCAGACUUUUGGAAAGGUGGCCGACAGGUUUCAAAGCAAAGGUUAUCAGACUAGGAGAAACCUUGACUCCCACUCCACUGCUGAAACGAUUACUGUCAUCUGCCAAACAGAGCAAAGAAAGCAGCGAGGCACAGGAUUCCCCAGAGUGGGACAGUGAUAUAUCAUCCUUCCUUCUACUUUUGCAUCUCCUAUCACCCCAGGCUUCAGGAAGAAAGAAAAUCCAAAGGAUCAGUAUUUCACAGGCUAUUGACCAUCUGGUGGUGUUUCACAAAGCAUGCAGGAGCAUACAGGAACACCUUGAGCUGGAAGAGAAUCGUCAGCCAUACAUUCUUGCCUCGGGGAGCAGCAAGGAAGCCAUCAGUCACUACUUCAUUGUGGUGGAUAAAAAGCUCAUCCCCUGUCAAGAAUCCUCUUCACUGGCUGCCAUUGAUGAACUCUUCAAGGUUCAUUUUGUUUUCAGUCUCAGUUAUGAUAGCCAUUGCCUAUCACUGGGAGUCAUGUACUUUUAGGGGUAUUGAGUCUGGCCCUGUUUCAAAUGAGCUGUUGUCUGACCUUGAAAACUCUGAUUUUAUUUCAGAGCAACUCCAGAUUGAUAUCUCUAGCGAGGUAAUGGUCACACCGUGGGUAAAGUGUCAAGGUACUGAGUAUCGCAGUGAUCUUGUUGUUUUCUUAGAGUUUGUUGAUGAUGCACCUGUUUUUGGAAAGAUUGUUAAAAUUUUUAUUAAGGAUGGAAUUUAUUUUUUGGUAUCGUGUAUGGAAUCAGAGUUUAUUGAACACCUUCAUGCUUUCAGUGUUGUUGAACAUGAGCAUUGUCUUGUACUCAAAAAACCUGAGGAAUUGAUGUACUACAAGCCAUUUGAUUUACAAAUGUCCUAUGGCAAUGACCAUCUUUUUUACAUUGUCAUGGACUGUUAUUUGUAAUAAUUUCAUGGCAUUUAUGGUUUCUUGCUCUGUGCUGAAAUAAAGUUUUGAAACCUU
Carassius gibelio (silver crucian carp) is the source of this 2386-nucleotide long non-coding RNA. RefSeq lists it as uncharacterized. The transcript is spliced from 9 exons. NCBI's taxonomy places the organism in Eukaryota, Metazoa, Chordata, Actinopteri, Cypriniformes, Cyprinidae. The record is from RefSeq and is a predicted model, not a curated record.